CCUACGGGUGGCAGCAGUGGGGAAUAUUGCACAAUGGGGGAAACCCUGAUGCAGCGACGCCGCGUGAAGGAAGAAGUAUUUCGGUAUGUAAACUUCUAUCAGCAGGGAAGAAAAUGACGGUACCUGACUAAGAAGCCCCGGCUAACUAAGUGCCAGCAGCCGCGGUAAUACGUAGGGGGCAAGCGUUAUCCGGAUUUACUGGGUGUAAAGGGAGCGUAGGCGGUUUAGCAAGUCAGAAGUGAAAGCCCGGGGCUCAACUCCGGGACUGCUUUGGAAACUGUUGAACUAGAGUGCAGGAGAGGUAAGUGGAAUUCCUAGUGUAGCGGUGAAAUGCGUAGAUAUUAGGAGGAACACCAGUGGCGAAGGCGGCUUACUGGACUGUAAAUGACGCUGAGGCUCGAAAGCGUGGGGAGCAAACAGGAUUAGAUACCCUUGUAGUC
Molecule: ribosomal RNA, 440 nt
Filed under: uncultured bacterium
Lineage: Bacteria
Description: partial 16S ribosomal RNA
Rfam family: Bacterial small subunit ribosomal RNA
Source: RNAcentral